Molecule: ribosomal RNA, 253 nt
Filed under: uncultured bacterium
Lineage: Bacteria
Description: partial 16S ribosomal RNA
Rfam family: Bacterial small subunit ribosomal RNA
Source: RNAcentral
UACAGAGGGGGCAAGCGUUGUUCGGAAUUACUGGGCGUAAAGGGCGCGUAGGCGGCCCGCUAAGUCGAACGUGAAAUCCCCGAGCUCAACUCGGGAACUGCGUCCGAUACUGGCGGGCUUGAAUCCGGGAGAGGGAUGCGGAAUUCCAGGUGUAGCGGUGAAAUGCGUAGAUAUCUGGAGGAACACCGGUGGCGAAGGCGGCAUCCUGGACCGGCAUUGACGCUGAGGCGCGAAAGCUAGGGUAGCAAACGGG